Molecule: microRNA, 23 nt
Filed under: Magallana gigas (Pacific oyster)
Lineage: Eukaryota; Metazoa; Mollusca; Bivalvia; Ostreida; Ostreidae
Description: Mgi-Mir-184-P15h_5p* (star (passenger))
Source: RNAcentral
CCAUGUCACAUAUUCGUCACAGU